This 2037-nucleotide unclassified non-coding RNA is filed under the name Hevea brasiliensis (rubber tree). Lineage: Eukaryota; Viridiplantae; Streptophyta; Magnoliopsida; Malpighiales; Euphorbiaceae. The record is from RNAcentral.
AAAAAAAAAAAAAAAAGGAAAAAGUGGGGGAAGGAAAAAAAAGGAAGUUGAAUAACUUUGGGAGAUUUAAAUUAGUUGAUCACCUAGUCCUCCAGUGACGUUAUCUCCACCUAUUUUGUUCAUGAAGAUUCCUAAUACUAUCACCUUCACUUGCAUCUGAAGUACCUUCACCCAUUUGUUUAUCGCCUAAUUUUGCAACAGUAUGAUUUCCUUGUCCAUAAGAGCGUGAAUGGGAAGAUUCUUUUUCUCUCCCAAUUCGGCGUUCAUCACGAAAUAGCAAGUCAUCUGCCUCAAGCAUGUGGAUUACAUGCCCCAUUUUGGGUCGCUUUGUUGCAUCAGGAUCAACACAUCUAAGAGCAACCAGGAGAACACGUUUUAGUGCUUUGGAAGCAGGCAUCUCAGGCAACUUCAGAUCAACUAUUUCCUCAGAUUUUCUGUUUCCAACCAUGGCUUUUAACCAAUCCACCAAAUUCACCUCUCCUUGUGGUCGACCAUAAUCAACAGGGCUUCUCCCAGAAAUUAACUCCAUGAUAAGUAUACCAAAGCUAUACACAUCGCUCUUCUCAUUCAGCAUUCCUGUGCAAGCAUACUCUGGUGCAACAUAACUAGCGAAACCAAUAAAUUGGAGUUAAUUUUCCUAUUUAAGAGCAUCAUAGGACAUCCAACAAUUGACCAAAUGAUUCUGCAUGUAUUUAAGCUUUCAUUUAUCUUAAAAUUUACUAAUUCAGGAAAGGAAAAAGAUGAAAGUAAAAACUCCAUAGAAAGGAAAUGAACAAACCCAAAUGUUCCCAUCACCCUUGUUGUCACAUAAAUCCUCUCAGAACAUAAGAGCUUAGCAAGCCCAAAAUCAGAAACCUUAGCAUUCCAUUGGUGAUCAAGUAGUAUGUUGCUGGAUUUUACAUCGCGAUGGACAACUUUUGGUUCAAGACCCUCAUGAAGGUAGGCUAAUCCCUUUGCUGUUCCCAAUAUAAUGUUCAUACGAAUAUCCCAUGUUAGAGGGCUGACUUCCCCGACAUCACCAUGAAGCCAUUGGUCAAGAUUACCAUUGUCAACAUACUCAUACACAAGCAUCCUAUACGCGCCCUCAACACAGUAUCCAAGCAACCUAACAAGAUUCUUGUGCCGUACUCGUCCAAUUGUUUCCACCUCCACUUUGAAUUCCUUCUCAGCUUGACCCCUGUUAUUCAACAAGUUCUUCACAGCAACCUUAGUACCAUCACUCAGAACCCCACGGUACACAAUCCCAUAUCCACCUUCACCAAUCACAUUCUCUUCACAAAGCCCAUUAGUUGCAGCUUCCAGCUCCCUCAAAGUAUACCAGCGGCCCCACCCGAGAUGAGAGACCUCCGGCCCCACACUCCCACUGCCAAACGACGCUGUCUCGCACCCACUCGCAGUACCUCUAUUCUCCCCACUCGAGGGUCUGUCUGAGAACACCACACGAUGCUCGAUCUUACCGAUCUCGACUUGAAUCUCUGGGACUUGAACUGGGUGGUGGUGAUUCUCUGCGGGGAAAUGCACGAUUUCCUGGAUUUCCUUGGAGAUGGGAGGCGUAGUAUCAGCACGCUUCGACGUUUUGAGAUUCUUGCGACGAUAGGUUAGGCAGAGGGAGAGGAGGAAUAGAGCGAGGACUAUGAGAGAUCCCAGCAGGAUUCCAAUCACCACCCAGAGGCGGAGGCCGAAGAUUGAGGUCGGCUUCGAUAGCUCUGUAUUCAGAAACGCGGCGUCGUAUAACGACAUAUCUUCCAAUCUUCUUUUCCUUCCCUCCGUAUCACGGGGAAAGAAAGAGAAGGAAAUCAAUGGUCGCAAGAUUCAGAAGUACAAGAGAAAUUUCGCUGCAUUGGCUCGCCGGAAAAAGAAUUCCGGCGAAAAAUAUAUAUUAUAUACAGACCGAAGAAGGAGAGGAGAGAAUCAGAGGAAUGUGUAAAGAGAGGAAUCAAUGGAAUAUUAAAGUAUAAGAGAUAGAAAGGGGAAAGGAAGAAAGUGUUUCCCUCUGUGGGAAGUAAACAGUAAUAGCGAGAGGAAAGAAACGAAAAG